This 425-nucleotide ribosomal RNA is filed under the name uncultured bacterium. RNAcentral describes it as "partial 16S ribosomal RNA". It matches the Rfam family "Bacterial small subunit ribosomal RNA", at positions 354 to 796 of the family's 1533-position model. The record is from RNAcentral.
GUGGGGAAUAUUGGACAAUGGGCGCAAGCCUGAUCCAGCCAUGUCGCGUGAGUGAUGAAGGCCUUAGGGUUGUAAAGCUCUUUCACCGGUGAAGAUAAUGACGGUAACCGGAGAAGAAGCCCCGGCUAACUUCGUGCCAGCAGCCGCGGUAAUACGAAGGGGGCUAGCGUUGUUCGGAAUUACUGGGCGUAAAGCGCACGUAGGCUGAUAUUUAAGUCAGGGGUGAAAUCCCGGGGCUCAACCCCGGAACUGCCUUUGAUACUGGGUAUCUUGAGUAUGGAAGAGGUCAGUGGAAUUGCGAGUGUAGAGGUGAAAUUCGUAGAUAUUCGCAGGAACACCAGUGGCGAAGGCGGCUGACUGGUCCAUUACUGACGCUGAGGUGCGAAAGCGUGGGGAGCAAACAGGAUUAGAAACCCCUGUAGUCC